UACGUAGGGGGCAAGCGUUAUCCGGAUUUACUGGGUGUAAAGGGAGCGUAGACGGAGCGCCAAGUCUGGAGUGAAAUGCCGCGGCUUAACCGCGGAACUGCUUUGGAAACUGGCGUGCUGGAGUGCGGGAGGGGUAAGCGGAAUUCCUAGUGUAGCGGUGAAAUGCGUAGAUAUUAGGAGGAACACCAGUGGCGAAGGCGGCUUGCUGGACUGUAACUGACGUUGAGGCUCGAAAGCGUGGGGAGCAA
RNAcentral lists this ribosomal RNA (248 nucleotides) under uncultured Lachnospiraceae bacterium. RNAcentral describes it as "partial 16S ribosomal RNA". It matches the Rfam family "Bacterial small subunit ribosomal RNA", at positions 524 to 771 of the family's 1533-position model. The record is from RNAcentral. Lineage: Bacteria; Bacillati; Bacillota; Clostridia; Lachnospirales; Lachnospiraceae.